Pieris napi is the source of this 1063-nucleotide long non-coding RNA. RefSeq lists it as uncharacterized. The transcript has 2 exons. The record is from RefSeq and is a predicted model, not a curated record. NCBI's taxonomy places the organism in Eukaryota, Metazoa, Arthropoda, Insecta, Lepidoptera, Pieridae.
UAUUAUGUAUAUUCUUACAGAUAAAUAAUGUAAACAAGUAUGGUAUUAGUACAAAGUCUUAUGAAAAUAUAGAAAGAAAAUUCAUGUUAGAUUUGAAACGUCACGUUUGAAAAGUCUUGGGUGAUACAUUCCUGAUUCCCUUUAGCAAAAUUAACUAUAGCCUGUGUUUAUUAACAAAGAAACAAACAUUGAUAAUUAAUGUUACUUUUGUAGGGUUCCUACACUAUGAGUGAGUACCUUUCAAGGCACUUCUAAACAGCUCUUAACAGGUUGACCUUGUUUUUAACGUAAUUAAUUAUAAAAAUUCAUACAUUCUUAGCUAUAGAUGAACUUAAUUCGAGUUCUAAUCAAAUAAAAAGAAAUCCAGUGUUUUGAGGGCCCCUUGGCAAAGGUUCGAUUCCGGGGUGAAAUGGCGGGUACUGUGAAAUUUCACUGUUAGGGCAACAAAUAAAAUUGGUUACUCCUAGUACUUACUACCUUGUCGAUACAGACUGGGCCCCUUAUAUGAAGUAUAAAUAACAUAGUAUGACGUCACUGUAAAAACAAAAGAAAGUAUAUCGUAUAACAGGGAUUUUACCUGCAGAUAAUUGAUGAUUAAAUAUGAUCGAUUAAUUGUAUUGCACAUUACAAGUAGGACAUCAUUGAUUAGAUAUCAUUUAACUGUCUAUCAAAUUUACAUAUAAAUAGGAUACAUGUGAGCGAGUAAACUUAUUCUAUUAAAAGUGUUUAGACAAAACUAAAUUAACUCAAUAUUAAACAUGAAGGUUUUAGCCGUUGCUCUAUUUUUGGCCCUCGUGUGCAUCACACUGGCUUCACCUACAGCUGAAGAUUUAGACAAUCCACAACUGUCUGUAGAAGGCAUGGAAUCAAUGGAGAUGUUAAAUGGCGCUCGUCAACGCAUCUGCACCGCUGCGUUGUGUCAAUCUGUGUGCAGAAGUCUGGGAUGGCGGACGGGCAGCUGCAACGCCCAACUAUUGUGCAUCUGUCGACGUUAACCGUUGUUAUUCUUAAUUUAACUUUAGUUUACUGCAAAUUUUAAGGUAUCAAUAAAUAAUUAGGCCUA